Molecule: ribosomal RNA, 78 nt
Filed under: Acremonium sclerotigenum
Lineage: Eukaryota; Fungi; Ascomycota; Sordariomycetes; Hypocreales; Bionectriaceae
Description: partial 18S ribosomal RNA
Source: RNAcentral
CACGCAACAACAGUGUAGGUCACACUGUUUGAGUUUUUACCUCGUAAUAUCGUACGUGGAACUGCGGAGGGAUCAUUC